Molecule: ribosomal RNA, 870 nt
Filed under: uncultured Gemmatimonadota bacterium
Lineage: Bacteria; Pseudomonadati; Gemmatimonadota
Description: bacterial SSU rRNA
Rfam family: Bacterial small subunit ribosomal RNA
Source: RNAcentral
CAAGUCAAGGGGGCCCAGCAAUGGGCAACCGGCGAACGGGUGCGUAACACGUGAGCAACCUACCGAACUGUGGGGGAUAGCCGGCCUAACGGCCGAGUAAUACCGCAUACGCUUUCAGUGAGGCAUUUCAUUGGAAGGAAACCUACGGGACAGAUCGAGGGGCUCGCGGCCUAUCAGCUAGUUGGCGAGGUAACGGCUCACCAAGGCUACGACGGGUAGCUGGUCUGAGAGGAUGGCCAGCCACAUUGGGACUGAGAUACGGCCCAGACUCCUACGGGAGGCAGCAGUGGGGAAUCUUGCGCAAUGGCCUAACGGCUGACGCAGCGACGCCGCGUGUGGGAUGAAGCUCUUCGGAGUGUAAACCACCGUUGCCCGGGACGAAUAGCUCGAUUAAUCGAGCCUGACGGUACCGGGUGAGGAAGCACCGGCUAACUCCGUGCCAGCAGCCGCGGUAAUACGGGGGGUGCGAGCGUUGUCCGGAAUCACUGGGCGUAAAGGGCGCGUAGGUGGUUUGAUAAGGGUGUGGUGAAAGCCCGGGGCUCAACCCCGGGUCUGCCGUGCCGACUGUCAAACUCGAGGGCUGUAGAGGCAGACGGAAUUCCGGGUGUAGCGGUGGAAUGCGUAGAGAUCCGGAGGAAGACCGGUGGCGAAGGCGGUCUGCUGGGCAGUUUCGGACACUGAUGCGCGACAGCGUGGGGAGCAAACAGGAUUAGAUACCCUGGUAGUCCACGCCGUAAACGAUGGGUACUAGGUGCCUGGGGGAAGCGACCCUCUGGGUGCCGGCGCUAACGCAGGAAGUACCCCGCCUGGGGAGUACGACCGCAAGGUUGAAACUCAAAGGAAUUGACGGGGGCCCGCACAAGCGGUGGA